CAGUCGCCGCGGUAAUACGGAGGGUGCAAGCGUUAAUCGGAAUUACUGGGCGUAAAGCGUGCGUAGGCGGUUCGUUAAGUCUGUUGUGAAAGCCCCGGGCUCAACCUGGGAAUGGCAAUGGAUACUGGCGAGCUAGAGUGUGUCAGAGGAUGGUGGAAUUCCCGGUGUAGCGGUGAAAUGCGUAGAGAUCAGGAGGAACAUCAGUGGCGAAGGCGGCCAUCUGGGACAACACUGACGCUGAGGCACGAAAGCGUGGGGAGCAAACAGGAUUAGAUACCCCCGUAGUCCCUGUCUCUUAUAC
RNAcentral lists this ribosomal RNA (301 nucleotides) under uncultured bacterium. RNAcentral describes it as "partial 16S ribosomal RNA". It matches the Rfam family "Bacterial small subunit ribosomal RNA", at positions 509 to 807 of the family's 1533-position model. The record is from RNAcentral.